UACGGGGGGGGCAAGCGUUGUUCGGAAUUACUGGGCGUAAAGGGCUUGUAGGUGGCCAACUAAGUCAGACGUGAAAUCCCUCAGCUUAACCGGGGAACUGCGUCUGAUACUGGAUGGCUUGAGUUUGGGAGAGGGACGCGGAAUUCCAGGUGUAGCGGUGAAAUGCGUAGAUAUCUGGAGGAACACCGGUGGCGAAGGCGGCAUCCUGGACCAACACUGACGCUGAUGAGCGAAAGCCAGGGGAGCAAACGGG
This 253-nucleotide ribosomal RNA is filed under the name uncultured bacterium. RNAcentral describes it as "partial 16S ribosomal RNA". It matches the Rfam family "Bacterial small subunit ribosomal RNA", at positions 524 to 776 of the family's 1533-position model. The record is from RNAcentral.